CCUACGGGAGGCAGCAGUGGGGGAUAUUGCACAAUGGGGGGAACCCUGAUGCAGCGACGCCGCGUGGGUGAAGGAGCGUUUCGGCGCGUAAAGCCCUAUCGGCAGGGAAGAAGAUGACGGUACCUGGCCAAGAAGCACCGGCUAACUACGUGCAAGCAGCCGCGGGAAUACGUAGGGGGCAAGCGUUAUCCGGAUUUACUGGGGGUAAAGGGGGCGCAGACGGCAAGGCAAGCCAGGAGUGAAGGCCCGGGGCGCAACCCCGGGACUGCUCUUGGAACUGCAUGGAUGGAGUACAGGAGGGGCAGGCGGAAGUCCUAGUGUAGCGGUGAAAUGCGUAGAGAUUAGGAGGAACACCGGUGGCGAAGGCGGCCUGCUGGACUGUGACUGACGUUGAGGCCCGAAGGCGUGGGGAGCAAACAGGAUUAGAUACCCUUGUAGUC
Molecule: ribosomal RNA, 440 nt
Filed under: uncultured bacterium
Lineage: Bacteria
Description: partial 16S ribosomal RNA
Rfam family: Bacterial small subunit ribosomal RNA
Source: RNAcentral